CCAGGCACAUAUACCCUGCUCAGGACGGGGGCUGAUCCAGCCACACACUGCAAGGACCCCAGGAAGGGGAGAAUCGGUGCAGGUAACAGCCCCAGUAUUCGCCCCACUGGAGUGCACCCUGAUUGCAGAAAGGGAACUGCCUGCUAACUACUACUGCGCUUCGUUUGCUGUGGGCUCCCCCAGAGCCAAAGCGCUGGGGUGGGUACUCGGCCAACAGACAGAGCAACAAACAAACAAACAAAAAAUGUGUUCCUGACAAUGGCCUCAAAGCCCUCGAGCAGGGUCCUACGAGAGGGCAGCUGAAGCUAGAGGUCUGCGUCCUCCCCCUGUGAGCACCAGACCUGCCUAGGCCUGGGCUGCUUGAGAGAGUUGUGCUGGUUUAACCAGGGCCGGCUCUAGGUUUUUUGCCGCCCCAAGCAAAAAAAAUUUUGGCUGCCCCCGCCCCCCCUGUUGGUGUCACUAGACAUAGCUACCAGGUAACUCGGGAGAGUGGAAGGCCAGAAGUACCGAUGAAGCUCUUCUGCUCUGGGUCUAGGUGAGCCACAGUAACUCCAUCUUGUGAACAAUACCCAGCCUAGAGUGCUGACAGCCUAAAAAGCAGAAUAUGUAAUGGUCAACUUUUCUAGCAGACAGCUGCUGUUUUGCUCGCUCACAAAUGCUGUAGUGAUAAGUGUAAGGGGGGAAAGUAGGAGGGGGAACGACUGCGUGCGCAUGAAUCUACAAGGCCAAAAGAUAAGCAGGCGAAGGGAAAGUUUCUAACAUGCACAAUGUGUACCUGCUGUAAAUGUUGUUUGGAAGGGAGGGGUAGGGGUGAAAUAGACAAAGGCUUACACAGAAACAGCUUGGAAUAUAAAAAAGGAAAUUUGCAUGUGCUGGGCUUGAUUUGAGACAUGCUGGUCUCCUGGUGCCUAUUCAGAGAUCUCGAAUAAAUUUGCUUUGUUUCUC
Molecule: long non-coding RNA, 945 nt
Organism: Malaclemys terrapin pileata
Lineage: Eukaryota; Metazoa; Chordata; Testudines; Emydidae
Exons: 2
Source: RefSeq, a predicted model, not a curated record